GCAUUCCUUGCACUCCAUUACACUACAUUCACUUGAUCGGAAAGCAUGGUACUCACACUCGUCUUCAUAAUUGCGUCUCCUCUGGUUUCAAGUUGGCCUUUGUAAGCAUCGUUGUUUUACCCUACUUCACCUCACCAUAAAGAGUGAACUGCAACUUCUCGUCUGCGUGGUUUGAUGGAGAGGAGUUUAUACCAUCUGUCAACCCUGGCAAGCUGCUGAAGGCCUCAGUGCAGUGGAGCUGGUGAACGGAUAGCUCGACUGAAACAGAGAGGAGAGGAAUGACGAAACGGGCCUGAGGGACUUUAGCUCUGGCUGUUCCAACGAGUCGUCGGAUGUCUUUGAUAACGGUAACGGCUGUUUGUUCCCCAAGACCGUUGUUUAUCUCAUCUCAGAGCCAGAGUCUGGCUGGAGUAUACGUUUUAUAAGGCGUUUGGGGAUGUAGAUGCUUUUAAACAGCGCCGGUGUUACAAUAAUAUUAUUUGCUUUGUUGAAAAUGAUGAGUUGCACUUUGCACAGGAUUUUGUUGGAUAAACCAAAUUUUUUAAAGACUGAACAAAUAGCACAUUUCCUGAUGUAUUGUACUCUCGGUUGAUUGUAAAAAAAAGUGUUUUUGAAAAAUCUAAAUCAAAUCUCUCUCUUUCUCUGUGUUUACGAAUUGCAAACUGUAAUUCGUCGGGCUGUGGCUGUGGUCACAUGAUGGAGGAGGAGACCGGA
Long non-coding RNA from Gadus chalcogrammus (walleye pollock), 714 nucleotides. RefSeq lists it as uncharacterized. The record is from RefSeq and is a predicted model, not a curated record. The transcript is spliced from 3 exons. Lineage: Eukaryota; Metazoa; Chordata; Actinopteri; Gadiformes; Gadidae.